Molecule: long non-coding RNA, 450 nt
Filed under: Manihot esculenta (cassava)
Lineage: Eukaryota; Viridiplantae; Streptophyta; Magnoliopsida; Malpighiales; Euphorbiaceae
Description: long non-coding RNA (MESC_LNC012040)
Source: RNAcentral
CUUGAAUGCCAGAUCUGUUCAUUGCGGAUGCCAAUUCCCCGAUCUGCAGUUGCAGCACUUGUAUCGUCUUCGUCAACUCCCCAAUGGCAUGGUCUGGAUUUGCAGGUGCUGGUUGGACUUGAUUCCUGGGGCUGAUCUGAUUGUUUGUCCUGGCGUAACUGAAAUUGGGAUGGUCUCUCCAACCUGGGUUAUAUGUGUUAGAAUAAGGAUCACGUCUUACCUGAUUAUUGUAUCCUCCAAUUGCAUUAACGUGCUGGUCCUCUUCUUGAAGUGUGGGACAUUGAUCAGUUGGGGGUCCCACAUAGGCACAUAUACCACAUGGUCGAAGCUGUUGAGGCUGUCGAACCUGAUGAACUUGUUGAGCUUGGCUAAGGAGAAGCUUUUCCACAAGACGAGUUAGCUUUGAAACUUCAGAAUCGGAAGUGGGUGUACUCACCUCAUGGAUUCCUC